GGCUCCAAGGGUGACAGAGGCUUACCUGGCCCCAAGGGUGAGAAGGGAGAGCCAGGAGGAUUUGGAGAGCCAGGGGAUCCUGGGGAAGAUGGAGCAAAGGGGUCCUCUGGAGCCAAAGGAGAGAAAGGAUCACCAGGUGUCGGUGUGCGGGGACCUCCAGGACAAGAUGGGCCUCCAGGGCUGAAGG
Molecule: long non-coding RNA, 187 nt
Organism: Dryobates pubescens (Downy woodpecker)
Lineage: Eukaryota; Metazoa; Chordata; Aves; Piciformes; Picidae
Exons: 4
Source: RefSeq, a predicted model, not a curated record